Molecule: ribosomal RNA, 362 nt
Filed under: Salmonella enterica subsp. enterica serovar Mbandaka
Lineage: Bacteria; Pseudomonadati; Pseudomonadota; Gammaproteobacteria; Enterobacterales; Enterobacteriaceae
Description: bacterial SSU rRNA
Rfam family: Bacterial small subunit ribosomal RNA
Source: RNAcentral
GCUUCGCUGACGAGUGGCGGACGGGUGAGUAAUGUCUGGGAAACUGCCUGAUGGAGGGGGAUAACUACUGGAAACGGUGGCUAAUACCGCAUAACGUCGCAAGACCAAAGAGGGGGACCUUCGGGCCUCUUGCCAUCAGAUGUGCCCAGAUGGGAUUAGCUUGUUGGUGAGGUAACGGCUCACCAAGGCGACGAUCCCUAGCUGGUCUGAGAGGAUGACCAGCCACACUGGAACUGAGACACGGUCCAGACUCCUACGGGAGGCAGCAGUGGGGAAUAUUGCACAAUGGGCGCAAGCCUGAUGCAGCCAUGCCGCGUGUAUGAAGAAGGCCUUCGGGUUGUAAAGUACUUUCAGCGGGGAGG